This 253-nucleotide ribosomal RNA is filed under the name uncultured bacterium. Its description in RNAcentral is "partial 16S ribosomal RNA". It matches the Rfam family "Bacterial small subunit ribosomal RNA", at positions 524 to 776 of the family's 1533-position model. The record is from RNAcentral.
GACGGGGGAUGCAAGUGUUAUCCGGAAUCACUGGGCGUAAAGCGUCUGCAGGUGGUUUCCUAAGUCCACUGUUAAACCUUGAGGCUCAACCUCAAAUCUGCAUUGGAAACUAGGAGACUUGAGUAUAGUAGGGGUAGAGGGAAUUUCCAGUGGAGCGGUGAAAUGCGUGGAUAUUGGAAAGAACACCGAUGGCGAAGGCACUCUACUGGGCUAUUACUGACACUCAGAGACGAAAGCUAGGGGAGCAAAUGGG